Molecule: ribosomal RNA, 497 nt
Filed under: uncultured bacterium
Lineage: Bacteria
Description: partial 16S ribosomal RNA
Rfam family: Bacterial small subunit ribosomal RNA
Source: RNAcentral
GAUGAACGCUGGCGGCGUGCCUAAUACAUGCAAGUCGAGCGAACAGACGAGGAGCUUGCUCCUUCGACGUUAGCGGCGGACGGGUGAGUAACACGUAGGUAACCUACCUAUAAGACUGGGAUAACUUCGGGAAACCGGAACUAAUACCGGAUAAUAUUUCGAACCGCAUGGUUCGAUAGUGAAAGAUGGCUUUGCUAUCACUUAUAGAUGGACCUGCGCCGUAUUAGCUAGUUGGUAAGGUAACGGCUUACCAAGGCAACGAUACGUAGCCGACCUGAGAGGGUGAUCGGCCACACUGGAACUGAGACACGGUCCAGACUCCUACGGGAGGCAGCAGUAGGGAAUCUUCCGCAAUGGGCGAAAGCCUGACGGAGCAACGCCGCGUGAGUGAUGAAGGUCUUCGGAUCGUAAAACUCUGUUAUUAGGGAAGAACAAACGUGUAAGUAACUGUGCACGUCUUGACGGUACCUAAUCAGAAAGCCACGGCUAACUACGUG